RNAcentral lists this ribosomal RNA (1338 nucleotides) under Salmonella enterica. RNAcentral's name for it is "partial 23S ribosomal RNA". It matches the Rfam family "Bacterial large subunit ribosomal RNA", at positions 969 to 2290 of the family's 2925-position model. Lineage: Bacteria; Pseudomonadati; Pseudomonadota; Gammaproteobacteria; Enterobacterales; Enterobacteriaceae. The record is from RNAcentral.
AUGUUAUCACGGGAGACACACGGCGGGUGCUAACGUCCGUCGUGAAGAGGGAAACAACCCAGACCGCCAGCUAAGGUCCCAAAGUCAUGGUUAAGUGGGAAACGAUGUGGGAAGGCCCAGACAGCCAGGAUGUUGGCUUAGAAGCAGCCAUCAUUUAAAGAAAGCGUAAUAGCUCACUGGUCGAGUCGGCCUGCGCGGAAGAUGUAACGGGGCUAAACCAUGCACCGAAGCUGCGGCAGCGACACUGUGUGUUGUUGGGUAGGGGAGCGUUCUGUAAGCCUGUGAAGGUGUGUCGUGAGGCAUGCUGGAGGUAUCAGAAGUGCGAAUGCUGACAUAAGUAACGAUAAAGCGGGUGAAAAGCCCGCUCGCCGGAAGACCAAGGGUUCCUGUCCAACGUUAAUCGGGGCAGGGUGAGUCGACCCCUAAGGCGAGGCCGAAAGGCGUAGUCGAUGGGAAACGGGUUAAUAUUCCCGUACUUGGUGUUACUGCGAAGGGGGGACGGAGAAGGCUAUGUUGGCCGGGCGACGGUUGUCCCGGUUUAAGCGUGUAGGUGUGUGUUCCAGGUAAAUCCGGUUCACUUUAACACUGAGGCGUGACGACGAGGCACUACGGUGCUGAAGCAACAAAUGCCCUGCUUCCAGGAAAAGCCUCUAAGCAUCAGGUAACAUCAAAUCGUACCCCAAACCGACACAGGUGGUCAGGUAGAGAAUACCAAGGCGCUUGAGAGAACUCGGGUGAAGGAACUAGGCAAAAUGGUGCCGUAACUUCGGGAGAAGGCACGCUGACACGUAGGUGAAGUGAUUUACUCAUGGAGCUGAAGUCAGUCGAAGAUACCAGCUGGCUGCAACUGUUUAUUAAAAACACAGCACUGUGCAAACACGAAAGUGGACGUAUACGGUGUGACGCCUGCCCGGUGCCGGAAGGUUAAUUGAUGGGGUCAGCGCAAGCGAAGCUCCUGAUCGAAGCCCCGGUAAACGGCGGCCGUAACUAUAACGGUCCUAAGGUAGCGAAAUUCCUUGUCGGGUAAGUUCCGACCUGCACGAAUGGCGUAAUGAUGGCCAGGCUGUCUCCACCCGAGACUCAGUGAAAUUGAACUCGCUGUGAAGAUGCAGUGUACCCGCGGCAAGACGGAAAGACCCCGUGAACCUUUACUAUAGCUUGACACUGAACAUUGAGCCUUGAUGUGUAGGAUAGGUGGGAGGCUUUGAAGUGUGGACGCCAGUCUGCAUGGAGCCGACCUUGAAAUACCACCCUUUAAUGUUUGAUGUUCUAACGUGGACCCGUUACCCGGGUUGCGGACAGUGUCUGGUGGGUAGUUUGACUGGGGCGGUCUCCUCC